Molecule: ribosomal RNA, 772 nt
Filed under: uncultured bacterium
Lineage: Bacteria
Description: bacterial SSU rRNA
Rfam family: Bacterial small subunit ribosomal RNA
Source: RNAcentral
CUGGGCGUAAGCGCGCGCAGGCGGCGAUCUACGUCUGGGGUGAAAGCCCGGAGCUCAACUCCGGGACUGCCUUGGAUACGGGAUCGCUUGAGGAUUGGAGAGGCAAGGGGAAUUCCACGUGUAGCGGUGAAAUGCGUAGAGAUGUGGAGGAACACCUGUGGCGAAGGCGCCUUGCUGGCCAAUUACUGACGCUGAGGCGCGAAAGCGUGGGGAGCAAACAGGAUUAAAUACCCUGGUAGUCCACGCCGUAAACGAUGAGUGCUAGGUGUUGGGGGGUACCACCCUCAGUGCCGAAGCUAACACAUUAAGCACUCCGCCUGGGGAGUACGGUCGCAAGACUGAAACUCAAAGGAAUUGACGGGGGCCCGCACAAGCAGUGGAGCAUGUGGUUUAAUUCGAAGCAACGCGAAGAACCUUACCAAGACUUGACAUCCCGCUGACCGCUCUAGAGAUAGAGUUUCCCUUCGGGGCAGCGGUGACAGGUGGUGCAUGGUUGUCGUCAGCUCGUGUCGUGAGAUGUUGGGUUAAGUCCCGCAACGAGCGCAACCCCUAUGUUGUGUUGCCAUCAUUUAGUUGGGCACUUACAACAGACUGCCGGUGACAAACCGGAGGAAGGCGGGGAUGACGUCAAAUCAUCAUGCCCCUUAUGUCUUGGGCUACACACGUGCUACAACGGGCGGUACAAAGAGAAGCGAGACCGCGAGGUGGAGCCAAUCUCAUAAAGCCGUUCGUAGUUCGGAUUGCAGGCUGCAACUCGCCUGCAUGAAGCCGG